AGCCGGGGGGUAUGAAAAGCUCCAAAGCUUGGGUACUGGGCGGCUCGCAAGGGUUGUUUGGUUCCAGGUUUACCGGUUUUAUGUGAGAGGAGGCUCUCUGCUCUUGAUUGGGCGGGGAAGUCCACUGAUCACCGUUUACUUUGAAAAAAUUAAGGUGUUCAAAGCGUGCAAGCGUUGCUCGAAUAGAUUAGCAUAGAAUAAUGGAAUAGGGCUGAGUCGCUAUUUCGUUGGUUCAGUGAUUCGGCA
Molecule: ribosomal RNA, 246 nt
Filed under: uncultured fungus
Lineage: Eukaryota; Fungi
Description: partial small subunit ribosomal RNA
Source: RNAcentral